GUACUAUUAUUUAUAUAUUAAAUGUUUCAAUAUUUUCCAGCUGAUGAUAAUGGCAUAAGUACUACACUAGUAAUUGUUGUAGUAGCAGGUGGUACUGUCGCUGUUAUUGUGAUUGGUGUCAUUAUAAUGGCAGUUGUAAAGUCUUUUUCGGCUGGAGCAACAGUUGGCGCUGCCGAUGUUGCAGUUGUAUGGCAAUAGGAAAUGACGAUAUACGAUAAUACACUUGUUACUACUCACCAAAAUAAACAAUUAUGUUUUUGAUUGAACACGUAAUGGUUCAAAUGACUGAAAAUGAAUUGUUUGUAACAUUUAUAACUUAUUUCAUAUUGAUAGCAAUGGUAAAACAACCUGAUAAUUGUGUACUUUCAACUCAAGUUAAAGAAAUUUCAUGAGUGGCCAAGAACAUGAAAAUUAUAACUCGUCGACUGUCUUGUCUACCGUGAUUAUUUGUAUUCUGAACAUGUGCACACCUAAUUUAAGUCAUUGGAAAAAUUUCAAGCUGACAUCUCCUAUGAAGAUCUUGUUAUAGAACAAACCUCUGAAACUAUGAUAUAGAAACAGUAAAUGGCCAUUAGAGGGGUGGAAGACAUCUAGCUUCAACUUAACUAGGUGUUGACAGUAAACCCAAGACGAGGAGUAUGCCAUUAAAGAUUUCAUCAGUGGCCUACGUUUCAAUAACUUAGAAACUAUAUUUCGUAGAGGCAAAAUACCUUCAUUAUUGUACCUUAAUUUAUAUACAGGUUAAUAAAUGAAAGAUAAAUGACA
This 765-nucleotide long non-coding RNA is filed under the name Mytilus galloprovincialis (Mediterranean mussel). Lineage: Eukaryota; Metazoa; Mollusca; Bivalvia; Mytilida; Mytilidae. The record is from RNAcentral.